CACAACAACCUAGAGAAGCCUGUCUAAUAACCGAUACUCCACGAUUAACCCAACCCACUCUAGCCUACCAGUCUAUAUACCACCGUCGCCAGAUUACCUUGUGAAAGAAAUAAAGUAAACCUAAUAGGCCACCCCUAGCACGACAGGUCGAGGUGUAACUGAUGAGCGGGUAAAGGAUGGGCUACAUUUUCUAAAACAGAAAACACGAAUAAACUAUGAAACUAGAAACUGAAGGCGGAUUUAGCAGUAUGCUAUGAACAAACUACUUAACUGAAGCUAAUGCAAUGAAGUGCGUACACACCGCCCGUCAUCCCUGUUAUAAACAACAAAAAUUUUAUAAAUCACCACACUCUCUUAAAGCAGGGCAAGUCGU
Molecule: ribosomal RNA, 373 nt
Filed under: Dipsas indica ecuadoriensis
Lineage: Eukaryota; Metazoa; Chordata; Lepidosauria; Squamata; Dipsadidae
Description: partial small subunit ribosomal RNA
Source: RNAcentral